AUCAACGACAUGCAGGAAACCAGCUGGUUGCUCAGAGCAGGAUGAGUCUGUGGUGACCCUACCACGGACUGCCACUUCAUCUUGGGACCCAGUUGAAGAAGAACUCACACAGAGGGAGGUGGCUCAGACAUGGAGAUCAAAAUGAGAGCAACUUUUCCUGUCGACCCUCGGUUGUACUGGAGGUGAUGCCAUCCGCCACAUGCUGCUGAGACAGUACAGCUUGCGGGAAAGAAAGACAAAGAAAGCCUUCCAGGACCUGGCUGUAUGCAGGGUUAUAAAAG
Long non-coding RNA from Etheostoma spectabile (orangethroat darter), 281 nucleotides. RefSeq lists it as uncharacterized. The record is from RefSeq and is a predicted model, not a curated record. The transcript has 3 exons. NCBI's taxonomy places the organism in Eukaryota, Metazoa, Chordata, Actinopteri, Perciformes, Percidae.